CAGCCGCGGUAAUUCCAGCUCCAAUAGCGUAUAUUAAAGUUGUUGCAGUUAAAAAGCUCGUAGUUGAAUUUCGGGGUUAGUAGGUUGGUCAUGCCUCUGGUAUGUACUGGUCUCACUGAUUCCUCCUUCCUUAUGAACCGUAAUGCCAUUAAUUUGGUGUUGCGGGGAAUUUGGACUGUUACUUUGAAAAAAUUAGAGUGUUUAAAGCAAGCUAACGCUUGAAUACAUUAGCAUGGAAUAAUGAAAUAGGACGUUCGAUCUUAUUUUGUUGGUUUCUAGGAUUGACGUAAUGAUUAAUAGGGAUAGUUGGGGGCAUUAGUAUUCAAUUGUCAGAGGUGAAAUUCUUGGAUUUAUUGAAGACUAACUACUGCGAAAGCAUUUGCCAAGGAUGUUUUCAUUAAUCAAGAACGAAAGUUAGGGGAUCGAAGACGAUCAGAUACCGUCGUAGUCUUAACCAUAAACUAUGCCGACUAGGAUCGGAUGAUGUUAAUUUUAUAAUGACUCAUUUGGCACCUUACGGGAAAC
Molecule: ribosomal RNA, 525 nt
Filed under: uncultured Glomeromycotina
Lineage: Eukaryota; Fungi; Glomeromycota
Description: SSU rRNA
Rfam family: Eukaryotic small subunit ribosomal RNA
Source: RNAcentral